CCCUUAGACGUUCUGGGCCGCACGCGCGCUACACUGACCAGUGCAACAAGCAUCCGUCCUUGGCCGACAGGCUCGGGCAAUCUUUGAACGCUGGUCGUGAUGGGGAUAGACUUUUGCAAUUUUUGGUCUUCAACGAGGAAUUCCUAGUAAACGCAAGUCAUCAACUUGCAUUGAUUACGUCCCUGCCCUUUGUACACACCGCCCGUCGCACCUACCGAUUGAAUGGUCCGGUGAAGCCUCCGGAUUGGCGCGCACCUCGGUGCCGCCGAGAAGUUGGCUAAACCUUACCAUUUAGAGGAAGGUGCAGUCGUAACA
Molecule: ribosomal RNA, 315 nt
Filed under: uncultured eukaryote
Lineage: Eukaryota
Description: partial 18S ribosomal RNA
Rfam family: Eukaryotic small subunit ribosomal RNA
Source: RNAcentral